This 497-nucleotide ribosomal RNA is filed under the name uncultured bacterium. RNAcentral's name for it is "partial 16S ribosomal RNA". It matches the Rfam family "Bacterial small subunit ribosomal RNA", at positions 28 to 507 of the family's 1533-position model. The record is from RNAcentral.
GAUGAACGCUGGCGGCGUGCAUAAUACAUGCAAGUCGAGCGAACAGACGAGGAGCUUGCUCCUCUGACGUUAGCGGCGGACGGGUGAGUAACACGUGGAUAACCUACCUAUAAGACUGGGAUAACUUCGGGAAACCGGAGCUAAUACCGGAUAAUAUAUUGAACCGCAUGGUUCAAUAGUGAAAGACGGUUUUGCUGUCACUUAUAGAUGGAUCCGCGCCGCAUUAGCUAGUUGGUAAGGUAACGGCUUACCAAGGCAACGAUGCGUAGCCGACCUGAGAGGGUGAUCGGCCACACUGGAACUGAGACACGGUCCAGACUCCUACGGGAGGCAGCAGUAGGGAAUCUUCCGCAAUGGGCGAAAGCCUGACGGAGCAACGCCGCGUGAGUGAUGAAGGUCUUCGGAUCGUAAAACUCUGUUAUUAGGGAAGAACAAAUGUGUAAGUAACUAUGCACGUCUUGACGGUACCUAAUCAGAAAGCCACGGCUAACUACGUG